UACGAGUGCCUCAAGCGUUAUCCGGAAUUAUUGGGCGUAAAGGGCUCGUAGGCGGUUUGUCGCGUCGGGAGUGAAAACCUCGGGCUUAACUCGGGGCUUGCUUUCGAUACGGGCAGACUAGAGGUAUGCAGGGGAGAACGGAAUUCCUGGUGUAGCGGUGAAAUGCGCAGAUAUCAGGAGGAACACCGGUGGCGAAGGCGGUUCUCUGGGCAUGAUCUGACGCUGAGGAGCGAAAGUGUGGGGAGCGAACAGG
RNAcentral lists this ribosomal RNA (253 nucleotides) under uncultured bacterium. RNAcentral's name for it is "partial 16S ribosomal RNA". It matches the Rfam family "Bacterial small subunit ribosomal RNA", at positions 524 to 776 of the family's 1533-position model. The record is from RNAcentral.